UGGGGGUGAGGAGAAACAGAAGAUCCCCCCAAGGAGGGGACAUUUCAUCUGAGACCUGGCAGGUGAGCUGCAGGUAACAGGUGAUGGACUGAGGUGGAGAAACAUUCCAGGCGGAGGGAACAGCAUAUGCAAAGGCCCUGAGACACUGGGAGCCUAGUAUUUCCAAGGCCAGAGGAGAGGCCAGUGUGGCUGGGGCCAAGCAGACACAGGUAACCAACACAAUUUCAAGUUCCGGGACAUCGUCUGCAAUCAACAUCAACUACCCCAUCAAGAAAGCAGACCCUGGUGUUGGUGGUGAGUAGCAGAUAAUUUAUGAGCUUGUCAGUGUGUUCCACGGCCCCUGAUCUGUAUCAGCAUGAAAUAAGAAACCAGUCAAGAGGCGUCAGGAAAACACGGCAUGCCCCCGCCCCCUCGCCUUACCAUUUGACGUUGACUCAUUCAUGUAUGAAAUUGAGUCUUUGUGAUGGUGGAGUAUUAAAGAUCCCGUGUAGUCGAAUUAAUAUCAUGGAACCGGAGAGUGGAACCAGGUCAUUAAAUGCUCCGUGGUUCGCCCUCCUUCCAACAGGCAGGAGAAAACAAACAGAAGGCUUAGAUGCAAAUACGAACUCAGGUCCGAGUGUUCAGGAGAACCAGCGUAGGCUGCGAAAGGAGAGCUGGGUGGAGGUCCCAGAUAAUUUGGGUUAAAAAGACUUUCAUUGGGAGAAGCAGUCACCCAGGCACAGGCUGUGGAUCCUGCCGUGGUUUAUCCUCCCUGUCUGUCUGCUUGUGGAUGACCUCAGGGUUCAUGCCAACGUUUAGUGAAACUGUUGAAGCAUCACUGAAAUUCCUUGAGCCAAAGGGAACGUGUUCAGGCCCCAGUCCUGCCCCCCCUGUGAGCUGGACAGACCGUCCUCCCUCUCUGGGCCUCAGUUUCCCCAUCUAUAGAUUCCACACUCCCUUUGACGUUCGUUGGUGUUGCCCAGUGAAGAUAAAGGAGGCGGAGGGGUGGAAGAGAACCUGCUUCUGCUGGUGUCCAAGAGAAAGCUUGAUGUCAGGACAUCCUGAGACGUGUCCUGGGGAGAAGGAAGCCUUCAAGGGACAAAGGAGCUGUGUAGGAGUCACAGCUCUAACGGAACAGCCAACUUUCAACCAACCAAAAAUACUGCAUCCCUCCCUCCCCAGCGGAGUGACCAGGAGGUGAUCGGAACACAGUGGAUCCCGUGGACCCACAGGGAGUCAGUUUCUGCAGGGGGAGAUAGAUGAGGCUGAAAAAAAAAUCUGCUGUGGAUUUUGAAGAAGGCAACGUGGAGGCAGCACCUUCGGGCCCUCACUGAGCCGCAGCCUCCCCCUCCUCCGGCUCCUGGCUCCCAGUGUAGAGGCCUCCGGUCCUGGUCCUUCCACCCAGGACGGUGGACUGGACCUGCAUGUCGAGAUUUGCUCUGCUGGGUGAUGUCUCAAGAAACCCCAGGCCAGGGAGUGCAGCCAGGCCAUUGAGCAAAGUUCUCUGAGAAGAAAUGGAGAUGAAACCUCUGGAUGAGAGGAUGCCACGGAACCUUCCAGACCUGAAAUUCUAGGAGGGGUAAGGGUCUCCCUGAGGACCUGAGGAGAGAGCGGCCGGCAGAGGCUGGCGCUGCACACAUCCAGGGCCACCCCUCACGUCCACCCGGUGGGAACGGGGCCUCUGGACGUGUGCAGAGAACACUCGCACGAUCACACUCCCGGCCUCGGUGUUGUUUUUCAGGGGGCGGGGUGAGAUGCCCCGAAAACUGCUGUUCGGCCUGAAGCCUGCGGGGCCUUAAGGAAGGGGCCGCAGCAGAGAAGAGGGAAAUCCGACAAGUGAUACCGUUUGCCAAGAAACAUCAGCAGUGGGACGUGUGUGUCGGCUGUGUCUACACGAGUCAGACACAGCAAGUGAUUGUUCCCAAUCUAAUCCUAUUAUGGGCAAUUUAAGGGACGGUCUGCUGUGAAACGGAAGGCCCAGCUGGGCACCUGGAGGUGGCGUUUCCAUGAGACCUGCUGUUCUGACAUCUUCCGGCACCGACCACGGCCCUGGGGCCACAGUGGGAACUGAAAGUGGGCAGAGGAUGUGAUUGGAGGCAUCUGUACCCGUUAGUCCCGGCUUCUGGGGGGCCAGGUCACCCUGCAGACAUGUGGCUCUUGAGCCAGCUUUCCUGGUUCCCAGAGGCGAGACACACAGGCUGUGGAGUCAGACCCCAUGGGUCCAGGUCCCAGAUCUGCCGCUUACAGCUACUUUCAGAACUAGCAGCUUUUUAAUUUUCUGAAUGAAAAAUAAUUUUUAUUAUAAAAAUGAUAGAUAUUCGUUGUAAAAAUAAAUGAUCUCUGGAGCACGGCCUUGCAACAUUUCAGUUGGAUCUGGAGUCCUGAGAGCUGCCUUUUCCACACAAAGAUCGUCAUGUGGCCCCCACCUCACCCCCUCUAGAGGAAGCUGAGUCAUUAGUCCGGCAUUCAAGGCCACUGUGGUCCCGCCCAAGUGAUGCGGAGGUGACAGGGGUCG
RNAcentral lists this long non-coding RNA (2494 nucleotides) under Equus caballus (horse). RNAcentral's name for it is "lncRNA (ENSECAG00000048297.1)". The record is from RNAcentral. Lineage: Eukaryota; Metazoa; Chordata; Mammalia; Perissodactyla; Equidae.